UGGCUAUUUAGAAACGAUGCCAUGUACUUCCUGUCACCCAUGCUGCUGUUGUUUGUAACAUUGUUGUCUGAUUCCAAUGUAUCAGCUAUAAUUUUUAGAAAAUAUAGCUUGCAAAAUGUCAGUUUGGGAGCCAGGAGCAGCCAUGUCGUAAUUGAUAUCCAGAAUUCAUAAAUAUUGGUGUGGAAAGUUACCUUCAUCCUGUGCAACUACUCUGUCGCUCCAUGAUCAAACCGUGGGUUGAACUCCCAAGAAAUUCAUCAAGCCUAUUGCUCACAUUCCUGAUAACUUCCAAUCCCAAUUAUCCUAUGUAUGCCAUCAAGGUGAAAUGAUGAACUUUCCUUCCCAGCUACUGCUCAUGUUCAUAGGGGCUCAUGGCUCUGUGCCAUGUUAACUACAACCG
This 400-nucleotide long non-coding RNA is filed under the name Oryza brachyantha (malo sina). RNAcentral describes it as "long non-coding RNA (OBRA_LNC003248)". Lineage: Eukaryota; Viridiplantae; Streptophyta; Magnoliopsida; Poales; Poaceae. The record is from RNAcentral.